AUUGAACGCUGGCGGAAUGCUUUACACAUGCAAGUCGAACGGUAGAGGGGGCAACCCCUCGAGAGUGGCGAACGGGUGAGUAAUAUAUCGGAACGUGCCCAGUCGUGGGGGAUAACGUAGCGAAAGUUACGCUAAUACCGCAUACGAUCUAAGGAUGAAAGCGGGGGAUCGCAAGACCUCGCGCGAUUGGAGCGGCCGAUACCGGAUUAGGUAGUUGGUGGGGUAAAGGCUCACCAAGCCAACGAUCUGUAGCUGGUCUGAGAGGACGACCAGCCACACUAGAACUGAGACCCGGUCCAGACUCCUACGGGAGGCAGCAGUGGGGAAUUUUGGACAAUGGACGCAAGUCUGAUCCAGCCAUUCCGCGUGAAGGAUGAAGGCCCUCGGGUUGUAAACUGCUUUUGUACGAAACGAAAAGGUCUCUCUUAAUACAGGGGACUCAUGACGGUACCGUAAGAAUAAGCACCGGCUAACUACGUGCCAGCCGCCGCCGUAA
Molecule: ribosomal RNA, 496 nt
Filed under: uncultured bacterium
Lineage: Bacteria
Description: partial 16S ribosomal RNA
Rfam family: Bacterial small subunit ribosomal RNA
Source: RNAcentral